This 429-nucleotide ribosomal RNA is filed under the name Rana temporaria (common frog). Its description in RNAcentral is "partial large subunit ribosomal RNA". It matches the Rfam family "Bacterial large subunit ribosomal RNA", at positions 1948 to 2545 of the family's 2925-position model. Lineage: Eukaryota; Metazoa; Chordata; Amphibia; Anura; Ranidae. The record is from RNAcentral.
GUGCGAAGGUAGCAUAAUCACUUGUUCUUUAAAUGAGGACUUGUAUCAACGGCACUACGAGGGCUAUACUGUCUCCUUUUUCUAAUCAGUGAAACUGAUCUCCCCGUGAAGAAGCGGGGAUCAAAAUAUAAGACGAGAAGACCCCAUGGAGCUUUAAACUCAUCACGCACCUCUGUGCCCCCAUAUCCUUAAACACAAGAGAUCUGCGUGCUAGUUUUAGGUUGGGGGGACCACGGAGUAUAACUUAACCUCCAUAACAAAUGGGCUAACACCCUUAUCCAUGAGACACAGCUCUAAGAAUUACCAAACUAAUGCUUAUGACCCGAUAUUCGAUCAAUGAACCAAGUUACCCUGGGGAUAACAGCGCAAUCUACUUCAAGAGCCCAUAUCGACAAGUAGGUUUACGACCUCGAUGUUGGAUCAGGGUAU